AAUUGGUUUUUAAAUCAAUAAAUGCAUUAUUUUGCCUGUCAGUGGCAGGAUAUGCUACACCACUCCAGAUAAUGCCACACACUUUGUUUUAUAUUAAGUUUCUGUACUGUUGAUCAUUCCCAUUUCUCUUUUUUUCCAUUUUUCCCCCCUCUUCUCUAGCCUUUCCUUGUAUGAAGAUGGGAAGCCACCAUCUUCCAUGCAGCCUGCCAGCAAGUCCCACUCUCAAAGGCUUGGGUUGACUGGUAUCAGCAGGCAUACCUGUUUACUCCCAGCUGUGCUUUGAAGUAGAUUGGGGCAGGCUUCCUACCCGGCAAAUGCUGUUCCUGGGCUGGAUCCACCACAAUGGAAACUUGACAGCCACCUCUGGGGAAAGAGGACUUUGUGACACAUGAAGGAGGCUCCUGGGCCUUGAAGCUAAUAGGUGACAAGGGAAUACUUCAUGUCUGUCAAACUCUUGGAAGUGCCCCUCAUGCCUGCUCUGUUGUUCUGCAUAAAGCAAGACCUGCAUUUGCAGGUCCUCCUGCUCUGGCUCCAGGUUGUCUGAUAACCAGGAUUGGGAGGCUUCUGGAAAGCCUCUUAGAAGCUUGAUUAUUCCACUAGAGACAUUUUGAGACCAAUCCCAUGAACAUAUUUUGAGCUUAUUAAAAGCCUGUCUUAAAACUGGCGCACACAAGCAGCAAUCAAUGAAAACUUGGCACUGCUACACUGAACCACAUUGUGCUGGCCAUAAUAUUGAUGUUUGCUGAAUAUUUACAGCAUUAAAGCAACCGUUCAUUUAAAAGAAACAAGUUGGAAAGAGCUUACACUGAAAGCAACUCCAUUUUAAGUGACCCGAAGAGAUGGGAAGAAAAUCCCUGCCUGUGGAGCAGUGAGGUUCAGUUCACUCACUCCUGGGUGAAAUAUUCCCCUGCUUAUGCCUUGGCAGAUGGGAAGGACCAGCCUGUGGAGUACCAGACUGAGCAUGGAGAGCUGAGGGAGAAGAAGCUGUGUUCAUUUCACUCACUAAUCAAGAAUAAUCACAGAAGUUCAAAAUUACUACAUUAGUCAGCACCAUGACAGCGUAACAAACAUGCAUUGUGAGGCAGUUAAAUAAAAUAUUUAAGAGAAUGCACCUGGCAGUGGCAUUUGGUCCCACAAGGAGGGGUAAGUUGGAAAUGCAUAGAUAAAUUGAUUGCUCCAGCCUUUGUUCCAGGAUUCAGGGGAAUAACAGCAAUAGCUGACAGUGGGGUAUUUUCACAGCAGGAGAUAUCCAUUUGGUUCUUACAGUUACUGACAAUUCUUAGGUGAUUUUUGUUGUUAUAUUUUUUCUAAUCCCAUUUGAGUACCUGUUUUUUUAUGAGAUUAAUGGCUCACAGUCUGUGAGACACUUAUUUAAGAUGCAGGAAGAAGGAUGUGUCUGCUAGACACAUCUGUGCUCUGCAGUCUAAAAUUGCCUCCUGUUGUGAGAGAGAUAGACAGAAAGAAGUGACUAGAGUACACUUGAGCUGCUAACAAACUGCUUUGUAACCUUGCCCCUGGAAUUUACUAGUUGCCAUUUUAAAAAGCAACUUUUG
Molecule: long non-coding RNA, 1553 nt
Organism: Prinia subflava (tawny-flanked prinia)
Lineage: Eukaryota; Metazoa; Chordata; Aves; Passeriformes; Cisticolidae
Exons: 6
Source: RefSeq, a predicted model, not a curated record